This 465-nucleotide ribosomal RNA is filed under the name uncultured bacterium. Its description in RNAcentral is "partial 16S ribosomal RNA". It matches the Rfam family "Bacterial small subunit ribosomal RNA", at positions 28 to 507 of the family's 1533-position model. The record is from RNAcentral.
GACGAACGCUGGCGGCGUGCUUAACACAUGCAAGUCGAACGGAAAGGCCCCUUUGGGGGUACUCGAGUGGCGAACGGGUGAGUAAAACGUGAGUAACCUGCCCCUGACUUCGGGAUAACUUCAGGAAACUGGGGCUAAUACCGGAUAGGAAUCCUUGCUGCAAGGGGGGGGUUGGAAAGCUUCGGCGGGUUUUGAUGGGCUCGCGGCUUAUCUGCUUGUUGGUGGGGUAGUGGCUUACCAAGGCUUUGACGGGUAGCCGGCCUGGGGGGGCGACCGGCCACAUUGGGUCUGAGGUGCGGCCCAGACUCCUACGGGAGGCAACAGUGGGGAAUAUUGCACGAUGGGCGGAAGCCUGGUGCAGCAGCGCCGCGUGCGGGAUGACGGCCUUCGGGGUGUAAACCGCUUUCAGCAGGGGCGAAGCUUGUGGUGACGGUACCUGCAGAAGAAGCACCGGCUAACUACGUG